UCCGAGUUGACCCCGGCAGUCUCCUGCGAGUCCCCGCCAUUACGCGCUGGCAACACAGGACAAGGGUUGCGCUCGUUGCGGGACUUAACCCAACAUCUCACGACACGAGCUGACGACAGCCAUGCACCACCUGUAUACCGACCACAAGGGGGGCCGUAUCUCUACGGCUUUCCGGUGUAUGUCAAGCCUUGGUAAGGUGGGGAUGACGUCGUAUCUCACUG
This 221-nucleotide unclassified non-coding RNA is filed under the name uncultured Nocardiaceae bacterium. RNAcentral's name for it is "contains 16S-23S intergenic spacer region". Lineage: Bacteria; Bacillati; Actinomycetota; Actinomycetes; Mycobacteriales; Nocardiaceae. The record is from RNAcentral.